UGGGGAAUUUUGGACAAUGGGCGAAAGCCUGAUCCAGCCAUGCCGCGUGAGUGAAGAAGGCCUUCGGGUUGUAAAGCUCUUUUAGUCGGAAAGAAAGAGUCGCAAUGAAUAAUUGUGAUUUAUGACGGUACCGACAGAAAAAGCACCGGCUAACUACGUGCCAGCAGCCGCGGUAAUACGUAGGGUGCGAGCGUUAAUCGGAAUUACUGGGCGUAAAGGGUGCGCAGGCGGUUUUGCAAGUCAGAUGUGAAAGCCCCGGGCUUAACCUGGGAAUUGCGUUUGAAACUACAAGGCUAGAGUGCAGCAGAGGGGAGUGGAAUUCCGAUGUGUAGCAGUGAAAUGCGUAGAGAUGUGGAAGAACACCGAUGGCGAAGGCAGCUCCCUGGGUUGACACUGACGCUC
RNAcentral lists this ribosomal RNA (402 nucleotides) under uncultured bacterium. RNAcentral's name for it is "bacterial SSU rRNA". It matches the Rfam family "Bacterial small subunit ribosomal RNA", at positions 355 to 748 of the family's 1533-position model. The record is from RNAcentral.